UACGUAGGGGGCUAGCGUUGUCCGGAAUCAUUGGGCGUAAAGCGCGUGUAGGCGGCCCGAUAAGUCCGCUGUGAAAGUCCAGGGCUCAACCCUGGGAUGCCGGUGGAUACUGUCGGGCUCGAGUCCGGAAGAGGCGAGUGGAAUUCCUGGUGUAGCGGUGAAAUGCCCAGAUAUCAGGAGGAACACCAAUAGCGAAGGCAGCUCGCUGGGACGUUACUGACACUAAGGCGCGAAAGCGUGGGGAGCGAACAGG
RNAcentral lists this ribosomal RNA (253 nucleotides) under uncultured bacterium. RNAcentral describes it as "partial 16S ribosomal RNA". It matches the Rfam family "Bacterial small subunit ribosomal RNA", at positions 524 to 776 of the family's 1533-position model. The record is from RNAcentral.